This 1089-nucleotide ribosomal RNA is filed under the name Mammaliicoccus sciuri. RNAcentral describes it as "bacterial SSU rRNA". It matches the Rfam family "Bacterial small subunit ribosomal RNA", at positions 109 to 1232 of the family's 1533-position model. Lineage: Bacteria; Bacillati; Bacillota; Bacilli; Caryophanales; Staphylococcaceae. The record is from RNAcentral.
AGUAACACGUGGGUAACCUACCUAUAAGACUGGGAUAACUCCGGGAAACCGGGGCUAAUACCGGAUAAUAUUUUGAACCGCAUGGUUCAAUAGUGAAAGACGGUUUCGGCUGUCACUUAUAGAUGGACCCGCGCCGUAUUAGCUAGUUGGUAAGGUAACGGCUUACCAAGGCGACGAUACGUAGCCGACCUGAGAGGGUGAUCGGCCACACUGGAACUGAGACACGGUCCAGACUCCUACGGGAGGCAGCAGUAGGGAAUCUUCCGCAAUGGGCGAAAGCCUGACGGAGCAACGCCGCGUGAGUGAUGAAGGUCUUCGGAUCGUAAAACUCUGUUGUUAGGGAAGAACAAAUUUGUUAGUAACUGAACAAGUCUUGACGGUACCUAACCAGAAAGCCACGGCUAACUACGUGCCAGCAGCCGCGGUAAUACGUAGGUGGCAAGCGUUAUCCGGAAUUAUUGGGCGUAAAGCGCGCGUAGGCGGUUUCUUAAGUCUGAUGUGAAAGCCCACGGCUCAACCGUGGAGGGUCAUUGGAAACUGGGAAAACUUUGAGUGCAGAAGAGGAGAGUGGAAAUUCCAUGUGUAGCCGGUGAAAUGCGCAGAGAUAUGGAGGAACACCAGUGGCGAAGGCGGCUCUCUGGUCUGUAACUGACGCUGAUGUGCGAAAGCGUGGGGAUCAAACAGGAUUAGAAUACCCUGGUAAUCCACGCCGUUAACGAAUGAGUGCUAAGUGUUAGGGGGUUUCCGCCCCUUAGUGCUGCAGCUACGCAUUAAGCACUCCGCCUGGGGAGUACGACCGCAAGGUUGAAACUCAAGGAAUUGACGGGGACCCGCACAAGCGGUGGAGCAUGUGGUUUAAUUCGAAGCAACGCGAAAUAACCUUACCAAAUCUUGACAUCCUUUGACCGCUCUAGAGAUAGAGUCUUCCCCUUCGGGGGACAAAGUGACAAGUGGUGCAUGGUUGUCGUCAGCUCGUGUCGUGAGAUGUUGGGUUAAAUCCCGCACGAGCGCUGACAAACCGGAGGAAGGUGGGGAUGAACGUCAAUCAUCAUGCCCCUUUAUGAUUUGGACUACAAACAUGCUACAUUG